This 279-nucleotide ribosomal RNA is filed under the name uncultured bacterium. Its description in RNAcentral is "partial 16S ribosomal RNA". It matches the Rfam family "Bacterial small subunit ribosomal RNA", at positions 506 to 784 of the family's 1533-position model. The record is from RNAcentral.
UGCCAGCAGCCGCGGUAAUACGGGGGGUGCAAGCGUUAUUCGGAAUUACUGGGCGUAAAGAGCGCGUAGGCGGUCUCUUAAGUCGGAUGUGAAAGCCCGGGGCUUAACCCCGGAAGUGCAUUCGAAACUAAGGGACUUGAGUAUGGGAGAGGGAAGUGGAAUUCCUGGUGUAGCGGUGAAAUGCGUAGAUAUCAGGAGGAACACCGGUGGCGAAGGCGACUUCCUGGACCAAUACUGACGCUGAGGCGCGAAGGCGUGGGGAGCAAACAGGAUUAGAUA